This 886-nucleotide ribosomal RNA is filed under the name Herbaspirillum lusitanum. RNAcentral describes it as "partial 16S ribosomal RNA". It matches the Rfam family "Bacterial small subunit ribosomal RNA", at positions 87 to 971 of the family's 1533-position model. The record is from RNAcentral. Lineage: Bacteria; Pseudomonadati; Pseudomonadota; Betaproteobacteria; Burkholderiales; Oxalobacteraceae.
GGUGGCGAGUGGCGASGGGUGARUAAUAUAUCGSAACGUGCCCUAGAGUGGGGGAUAACUAGGCGAAAGAUUAGCUAAUACCGCAUACGAUCUACAGAUGAAAGUGGGGGAUCGCAAGACCUCWUGCUCWUGGAGCGGCCGAUAUCUGAUUAGCUAGWUGGKGGGGUAAAAGCUCACCAGGGCSACRAUCAKUAGCUGGKCUGARAGGACSACCMGCCMCMCUGGAACUGAGACRCGGWCCAKACUCCUACGGGAGGCAGCAGKGGGGAAUUUUGGACAAUGGGCGCAAGCCUGAUCCAGCAAUGCCGSGUGAKUGAAGAAGGCCUUCGGGUUGUAAAGCUCUUUUGUCAGGGAAGAAACGGUCUUGGUUAAUACCUGGGGCUAAUGACRGUACCUGAAGAAUAAGCACCGGCUAACUACGUGCCRGCMGCCGCGGUAAUACGUARGGUGCARGCGUUAAUCGGAAUUACUGGGCGUAAAGCGKGCGCAGGCGGUUGUGCAAKACAGAUGUGAAAUCCCCGGGCUCAACCUGRGAAUUGCRUUUGUGACUGCACGGCUWGAGWGUGUCAGAGGGGGGUAGAAUUCCACGUGUAGCAGUGAAAUGCGUAGAUAUGUGGAGGAAUACCGAUGGMGAAGGCAGCCCCCUGGGAUAACACUGACRCUCAUGCACGAAAGCGUGGGGAGCAAACAGGAUUAGAUACCCUGGUAGUCCACGCCCUAAACGAUGUCUACUAGUUGUCGGGUCUUAAUUGACUUGGUAACGCAGCUAACGCGUGAAGUASACCGCCUGGGGAGUACGGUCGCAAGAUUAAAACUCAAAGGAAUUGACGGGGACCCGCACAAGCGGUGGAUGAUGUGGAUUAAUUCGAUGCAACGCGAAAACCUU